This is a long non-coding RNA of Cyprinus carpio (common carp), 1095 nucleotides long. Lineage: Eukaryota; Metazoa; Chordata; Actinopteri; Cypriniformes; Cyprinidae. The record is from Ensembl.
GUCGUUUCCAGGUAUGUUCACUAAGGGAAAAGGGAAGAGGCGUUUCUGGCAGUGAAUCUUGUUCCUGCUAAAAGGCUUAAACCAGUAGAAGUUGCUUUCCACCUUUUGCCAAAACAAUAUGAAAAAACCCCAAAAGAACAAGACCAACUAGUCCACUUGCAGGCAGGACUGGGCCGCAGGACUGUUUAUUUAGAUGAGAGCACAACACAUGAUGAGGUAAGCAGAUUCCAUAUGUAUAUUUGAAGAAUUCUGUUAAUUAGUCCUACCCGAUUCCUUUUUGAGAUGUGGCAACCAGGACUGGCAACCAUUUUAUUAUUAUUAUUAACCUUUAUUUUACCAAGUUGACUGACAUCCUUUUCUCAUUUGGAAAGAAAUCUGUUUGGAAGAAAGCUUCUUAGUAGUUACACAAACUACUAUAAAUUAUAUGAAGAAGUAGUCAUCGAGUUUAUAAUGGUCAGAUGUUUUAAUUCUGAUUUCUAAUAAGCUAAAAUGCAUCUAAUCAAGACUGAUGUUCUAGUACAAUCGUCCUUCAUUUCAACAGUUCUGCAUCCUUUCUAAGGAAACAAAAGUGUGGAGCAGCCAUUCCACUGCAGCUCCUGAUGGAACACUUGAAGUCUUGCAACAUCAUUGAUGUUGACAAUGAUGAAGACAACCUGGAUAAUAUGGAGGAUAACAGUGAACAAGCACCAGCUCAGGAGCCCUGUCCCAUCUGCAUGGAAAUGUUUACUGCUGACUUUAUUGAAGUACAUGCUGCUUCGUGUGGUGAAAGAGUGGCUCACGGUACAAGACCCUACCAAGGUCAUGUCUCUGUUUCGGGAAUCUAUUCUUAGCCAUCAUGAAAGUAAGAAUCCCUUACUUCUCAGCAUGGAUAUUAGAAAGAGCCCUGCUGAACAAGACGCUGCGCUCAUCUGCUUCUAUAAGAAGCCGAAAGUGGAAUGGGCACGACCCUUGAAUUGCAGACUUGAAGGUGAUGCAGCCAUUGGAGAGGGUGUGAGUCGCUUUUUCCUCUCAACUUGCAUGAACAAGCUGAAGUCUGGGUUUUGCUUCAACUUUGGUAUGUUGACUGUAGCUAUGUGUAAGCUGACUUGUCAUUAG